This 164-nucleotide ribosomal RNA is filed under the name Oligochaeta minima. RNAcentral's name for it is "5.8S ribosomal RNA". It matches the Rfam family "5.8S ribosomal RNA". Rfam says of the family: 5.8S ribosomal RNA (5.8S rRNA) is a component of the large subunit of the eukaryotic ribosome. The record is from RNAcentral. Lineage: Eukaryota; Viridiplantae; Streptophyta; Magnoliopsida; Asterales; Asteraceae.
AAACGACUCUCGGCAACGGAUAUCUCGGCUCACGCAUCGAUGAAGAACGUAGCAAAAUGCGAUACUUGGUGUGAAUUGCAGAAUCCCGUGAACCAUCGAGUUUUUGAACGCAAGUUGCGCCCAAAGCCAUUCGGCCGAGGGCACGUCUGCGUGGGCGUCACGCA